Molecule: ribosomal RNA, 395 nt
Filed under: uncultured bacterium
Lineage: Bacteria
Description: bacterial SSU rRNA
Rfam family: Bacterial small subunit ribosomal RNA
Source: RNAcentral
UGUCAUUAGUUGCCAUCAUUAAGCUGGGCACUCUAAUGAGACUGCCGGUUACAAACCCGAGGAAGGUGGGGAUGACGUCAAGUCCUCAUGGCCCUUAUGACCAGGGCUUCACACGUCAUACAAUGGUCGGUACAGAGGGUAGCCAAGCCGCGAGGCGGAGCCAAUCUCACAAAACCGAUCGUAGUCCGGAUUGCACUCUGCAACUCGAGUGCAUGAAGUCGGAAUCGCUAGUAAUCGCAGGUCAGCAUACUGCGGUGAAUACGUUCCCGGGUCUUGUACACACCGCCCGUCACACCAUGGGAGUGGGGGAUACCAGAAGUAGGUAGGGUAACCGCAAGGAGCCCGCUUACCACGGUAUGCUUCAUGACUGGGGUGAAGUCGUAACAAGGUAACCA